Molecule: long non-coding RNA, 1474 nt
Organism: Brienomyrus brachyistius
Lineage: Eukaryota; Metazoa; Chordata; Actinopteri; Osteoglossiformes; Mormyridae
Exons: 4
Source: RefSeq, a predicted model, not a curated record
CACGUGAUAGUCAGGGUGUGGUCAGGAACAUGCCGAGACAUGUUGAAAGGUAAGUGGUUUGAUGAUCGCCCGGUAAGGAGCAGUGAACCUUUCAUCCGCGAUUGAAAAGGGGCUCUUAGGACCGCAAAAGGAGAGACAUAAAGUGGAGGAGGAAUGUGAUGCUGCGGAUAUGUGGUUAUUCAAACAGCAGAUUGCUGAUAUCUGUAACUUUGAGGAUGAACUUGGCCGAAUUCCUUUAAACUUGUUGCUGUACAGCACGGAGUAUUUGCGCCUGUUCUGCUAUAGAGGAGUAACGGACAUAGACCCAGAGGAGCUGCUGCAGAAAACGUGUUGUUUCAUCAAACAGCUGGUGGCCUGUAACUGGAAUCUGGAAUUUACGGAGUCAGGGCUUCCCCUUCUAGUGGACGUCCCAUCAGCUACCAACCACGGCUAGUUGUUCCUGUGAUGCAAGGAUAAAUCUGAGCAUCGUAACCACUCUCUUCUUUUUGAAAAGUGAGAAGCUGGUUCAGGGCCAGUCACCUGGGAUGUCACCAACCCCAGGGAACGUCAGAGAGAGGCAGUAUUUAAGUCAAUUCAUUUGGUUUGCCAGUUUCACCUGCUAAUUUUGAUCAACGUUACAUCCAAUGAGCACGUUCCGUUUUCGAAUACGUAAAUGCUGCAGGCUACACCCAGAUCUCCCCGAGAAGCGGUACCCUGUAUGCAGACCUGUGAUGACGAUGCCCUCAGACGGACUUCAGAGCAGCCGUGGGUGGAGCAUGUGCCUGGGGGAGGGGUUCAACAGUUAUUACUCUCUGUGCAGUUAUUAUGUGGCGGUGGUCAAGUGAUCGGUUAAUAAUGAAAUGAUCAAAGCAAUCUGGAGAGAAAUAUAGAAAAUGCAGGAAAUGGAAUGAAGGGAAGAAAAGAGUCUGAUAUAGAGGUAAAGAUGUGCAGUUUGAAUGUCAUCUCCUUUGUAUUUGUCAUCAAUCUUGCAAUUGAAUUUACUCAUAAUAAUAAUUAGUUGUCCCCCCCAAAUAUAUAACGUGAAAACAUGGGAUAACAUUAUAACUUUAUACUCCGUGCCCAAAUAAUGGGAGAUUAUUUCCCAUAUGCCCCAAAUAAUUUAAUUCAACCCAACGCUACAUAAAUUAUGAAGUGUUUACUCCAUCAUGUCCCCAUUUGACCAGAAGAUGUCGCUGGUUAUCAAGUUUUCUUUGCAAAAUUGUAUAUUGUUUAGAAUCGGAGUCGUAAAAUCAUGGGGGUCAUAUUAAUUAUUAUUAGUAUAUUAUGCUAUUGUGUUCUAUGUUGUUGUGUUUAUUUUUCAUUUAAUCCGGUUGUUUUUAUUUAAUUUUUUUUUGCAUUUUGGAUUAUCUACAUGUUCAUAAUUUUUAGAUAUAUUGUUUUAUUUAUAUUUUGAUAUUUAAGCAUAUUAAUGUAAAGCUGAUUGGAAUAUGAGUAAUUAAAUGUGACUGUGCUGAGUUUAUGCACACUAACUGAA